GACGAACGCUGGCGGCGUGCUUAACACAUGCAAGUCGAACGGUAAGGCUCCAGCUUGCUGGGGUACACGAGUGGCGAACGGGUGAGUAACACGUGGGUGACCUGCCCUGCACUUCGGGAUAAGCCUGGGAAACUGGGUCUAAUACCGGAUAGGACCAUGGUGUGGAUACUGUGGUGGAAAGUUUUUUCGGUGUGGGAUGCGCCCGCGGCCUAUCAGCUUGUUGGUGGGGUAAUGGCCUACCAAGGCGGCGACGGGCAGCCGGCCUGAGAGGGUGGACGGCAACAUUGGGACUGAGACACGGCCGAGACUCCUACGGGAGGCAGCAGUGGGGAAUAUUGCACAAUGGGCGGAAGCCUGAUGCAGCGACGCCGCGUGGGGGAUGACGGCCUUCGGGUUGUAAACUCCUUUCACCAUCGACGAAGGGUUUCUGACGGUAGAUGGAGAAGAAGCACCGGCUAACUACGUG
Molecule: ribosomal RNA, 466 nt
Filed under: uncultured bacterium
Lineage: Bacteria
Description: partial 16S ribosomal RNA
Rfam family: Bacterial small subunit ribosomal RNA
Source: RNAcentral